CCUACGGGAGGCUGCAGUGGGGAAUAUUGGGCAAUGGACGCAAGUCUGACCCAGCAACGCCGCGUGAAGGAAGAAGGCUUUCGGGUUGUAAACUUCUUUUGAGGGGGAAGAGCAGAAGACGGUACCUCUUGAAUAAGCCACGGCUAACUACGUGCCAGCAGCCGCGGUAAUACGUAGGUGGCAAGCGUUGUCCGGAUUUACUGGGUGUAAAGGGCGUGUAGCCGGGAAGACAAGUCAGAUGUGAAAUCCCGGGGCUCAACCGCGGAACUGCAUUUGAAACUGUUGGUCUUGAGUAUCGGAGAGGUAGGCGGAAUUCCUAGUGUAGCGGUGAAAUGCGUAGAUAUUAGGAAGAACACCAGUGGCGAAGGCGGAUUGCUGGACGACAACUGACGGUGAGGCGCGAAAGCGUGGGGAGCAAACAGGAUUAGAUACCCGGGUAGUC
Molecule: ribosomal RNA, 442 nt
Filed under: uncultured bacterium
Lineage: Bacteria
Description: partial 16S ribosomal RNA
Rfam family: Bacterial small subunit ribosomal RNA
Source: RNAcentral